This 491-nucleotide ribosomal RNA is filed under the name uncultured bacterium. Its description in RNAcentral is "partial 16S ribosomal RNA". It matches the Rfam family "Bacterial small subunit ribosomal RNA", at positions 28 to 507 of the family's 1533-position model. The record is from RNAcentral.
GAUGAACGCUAGCGAUAGGCUUAACACAUGCAAGUCGAGGGGUAACGUGUUGGAAGCUUGCUUCCGAUGACGACGACCGGCGGAUGGGUGCGUAAUGCGUAUGCAACUUGCCUCACAGUGGAGAAUAACCCGGAGAAAUCCGGACUAAUACUCCAUACACUCUUAAGUACGCCUGUACAUGAGAGGAAAGAUUUAUCGCUGUGAGAUAGGCAUGCGUCCUAUUAGGUAGUUGGUGAGGUAACGGCUCACCAAGCCGACGAUAGGUAGGGGUGCUGAGAGGCAGAUCCCCCACAUUGGGACUGAGACACGGCCCAAACUCCUACGGGAGGCAGCAGUGAGGAAUAUUGGUCAAUGGAGGAAACUCUGAACCAGCCAAGUCGCGUGAAGGAAGAAUGUCCUAAGGAUUGUAAACUUCUUUAGCGAGCGAGUAAGGACUUCCACGUGAUGGGAGUUUGAAAGUAGCUCGAGAAUAAGUAUCGGCUAACUCCGUG